This 433-nucleotide ribosomal RNA is filed under the name uncultured bacterium. RNAcentral's name for it is "partial 16S ribosomal RNA". It matches the Rfam family "Bacterial small subunit ribosomal RNA", at positions 29 to 507 of the family's 1533-position model. The record is from RNAcentral.
AACGAACGCUGGCGGCAUGCCUAACACAUGCAAGUCGAACGAGACCUUCGGGUCUAGUGGCGCACGGGUGCGUAACGCGUGGGAACCUGCCUUUAGGUUCGGAAUAACUCAGAGAAAUUUGAGCUAAUACCGGAUGAUAUCUUCGGACCAAAGAUUUAUCGCCUUUAGAUGGGCCCGCGUUGGAUUAGCUAGUUGGUGGGGUAAAGGCCUACCAAGGCGACGAUCCAUAGCUGGUCUGAGAGGAUGAUCAGCCACACUGGGACUGAGACACGGCCCAGACUCCUACGGGAGGCAGCAGUGGGGAAUAUUGGACAAUGGGCGAAAGCCUGAUCCAGCAAUGCCGCGUGAGUGAUGAAGGCCUUAGGGUUGUAAAGCUCUUUUACCCGAGAUGAUAAUGACAGUAUCGGGAGAAUAAGCUCCGGCUAACUCCGUG